RNAcentral lists this small RNA (26 nucleotides) under Bombyx mori (domestic silkworm). RNAcentral describes it as "ovarian small RNA-4135". The record is from RNAcentral. Lineage: Eukaryota; Metazoa; Arthropoda; Insecta; Lepidoptera; Bombycidae.
UUGCAAGAUAAACCUCGAAUUAAGUU